GUUUACUCUGUGGUGCAGCUAUGAACAGUAUUUACCCCGUUAUACUAAUGUCAACACUUUUAACUCAAAACUUAUGGGUUCAAUGGUAGGAUGUGAGUGAGUGAGUGAGUGAGUGAGUGUGUAUGU
Herpailurus yagouaroundi (jaguarundi) is the source of this 126-nucleotide long non-coding RNA. RefSeq lists it as uncharacterized. The transcript has 3 exons. NCBI's taxonomy places the organism in Eukaryota, Metazoa, Chordata, Mammalia, Carnivora, Felidae. The record is from RefSeq and is a predicted model, not a curated record.